RNAcentral lists this transfer RNA (108 nucleotides) under Halieaceae bacterium. RNAcentral describes it as "tRNA-Sec". It matches the Rfam family "Selenocysteine transfer RNA". The record is from RNAcentral. Lineage: Bacteria; Pseudomonadati; Pseudomonadota; Gammaproteobacteria; Cellvibrionales; Halieaceae.
GGAAGAGCGAUGUCCCCGGUGGGGCGCCUGGUCUUCAAAACCAGUGAGGCGCCUGGUCCUUGAGACCGUUGCGGCGCCUGGUGGGUUCGACUCCUACCUCUUCCGCCA